GGAGUGGGCCAGGCGGUCGCGGCCGGGUCCCCGGACGCCGGCCGAGGAAAGUCCGAGCUGGACAGGGCACGGUGAUGGCUAACGGCCACCGGGCGUGAGCCCAGGGAAAGUGCCACAGAAAACACACCGCCCGGCCGGGCAUGCCCGGUCGUGGUAAGGGUGAAAAGGUGCGGUAAGAGCGCACCGCGCGACCGGUGACGGUCGUGGCAGGGCAAACCCCACCGCCAGCAAGCCCAAAUAGGGGGCGAGAGCCGGCCCGGCUCGUUACCAGCCCCGGGUAGG
RNAcentral lists this RNase P RNA (282 nucleotides) under Phycisphaerae bacterium. Its description in RNAcentral is "partial RNase P RNA component class A". It matches the Rfam family "Bacterial RNase P class A", at positions 1 to 275 of the family's 367-position model. Rfam says of the family: Ribonuclease P (RNase P) is a ubiquitous endoribonuclease, found in archaea, bacteria and eukarya as well as chloroplasts and mitochondria. Its best characterised activity is the generation of mature 5'-ends of tRNAs by cleaving the 5'-leader elements of precursor-tRNAs. Cellular RNase Ps are ribonucleoproteins. Lineage: Bacteria; Pseudomonadati; Planctomycetota; Phycisphaerae. The record is from RNAcentral.